RNAcentral lists this ribosomal RNA (355 nucleotides) under uncultured bacterium. Its description in RNAcentral is "bacterial SSU rRNA". It matches the Rfam family "Bacterial small subunit ribosomal RNA", at positions 8 to 353 of the family's 1533-position model. The record is from RNAcentral.
AGAGUUUGAUCCUGGCUCAGGAUGAACGCUAGCUACAGGCUUAACACAUGCAAGUCGAGGGGAAACGACAUCGAAAGCUUGCUUUUGAUGGGCGUCGACCGGCGCACGGGUGAGUAACGCGUAUCCAACCUGCCCACCACUUGGGGAUAACCUUGCGAAAGUAAGACUAAUACCCAAUGACGUCUCUAGAAGACAUCUGAAAGAGAUUAAAGAUUUAUCGGUGAUGGAUGGGGAUGCGUCUGAUUAGCUUGUUGGCGGGGUAACGGCCCACCAAGGCGACGAUCAGUAGGGGUUCUGAGAGGAAGGUCCCCCACAUUGGAACUGAGACACGGUCCAAACUCCUACGGGGACGGCA